RNAcentral lists this ribosomal RNA (443 nucleotides) under uncultured bacterium. RNAcentral describes it as "partial 16S ribosomal RNA". It matches the Rfam family "Bacterial small subunit ribosomal RNA", at positions 338 to 795 of the family's 1533-position model. The record is from RNAcentral.
CCUACGGGUGGCAGCAGUGGGGAAUAUUCGGCAAUGGGCGCAAGCCUGACCCAGCAACGCCGCGUGCAGGAAGAAGGCUUUCGGGUUGUAAACUUCUUUUGUCAGGGACGAAGAAUGUGACGGUGCCUGACGAAUAAGCCACGGCUAACUACGUGCCAGCAGCCGCGGGAAUACGUAGGGGGCAAGCGUUAUCCGGAUUUACUGGGUGUAAAGGGCGUGUAGGCGGGACUGCAAGGCAGCUGUGAAAACCACGGGCUCAACCUGUGGCCUGCAUGUGAUACUGUAGUUCUUGAGUACUGUAGAGGCAGACGGAAUUCCUAGUGUAGCGGUGAAAUGCGUAGAUAUUAGGAGGAACACCAGUGGCGAAGGCGGUCUGCUGGACAGCAACUGACGCUGAGGCGCGAAAGCGUGGGGAGCAAACAGGAUUAGAUACCCGGGUAGUC